ACGUAGGGGGCAAGCGUUAUCCGGAAUUAUUGGGCGUAAAGAGUGCGUAGGUGGUUUUUUAAGCGUGAGGUGAAAGGCAAUAGCUUAACUAUUGUAAGCCUUGCGAACUGGAAGACUUGAGUGCAGGAGAGGAAAGUGGAAUUCCUAGUGUAGCGGUGAAAUGCGUAGAUAUUAGGAGGAACACCAGUGGCGAAGGCGACUUUCUGGACUGUAACUGACACUGAGGCACGAAAGCGUGGGGAGCAAACAG
This 250-nucleotide ribosomal RNA is filed under the name endosymbiont of Metopus sp. RNAcentral's name for it is "partial 16S ribosomal RNA". It matches the Rfam family "Bacterial small subunit ribosomal RNA", at positions 525 to 775 of the family's 1533-position model. RNAcentral also lists the same sequence under 1 other name. The record is from RNAcentral.